RNAcentral lists this long non-coding RNA (29216 nucleotides) under Triticum aestivum (bread wheat). Lineage: Eukaryota; Viridiplantae; Streptophyta; Magnoliopsida; Poales; Poaceae. The record is from RNAcentral.
UGCAAAGGGACUGUACCAUGGAAAUUGAGAAGAAAUCUCCAUCAAGUUUUUCCAUUUUAUGCCAUAUGAAUAAGAGAUUCCUUUUAGUUAGAAAGCUCGCGUAGAAGUUUGCUAUCAAAGACCUCGGUAUUCUUUUCAUCCGCGGUUUCCCACUUCUCUGUCUCUGGGUGAAUGCCUCUACCAGAGGUUAUGCGCCAGCUUGGGAAAGCCUUAAGUUAUAUCUUAAUCUGUCUUGCAAGGUAGAUUGGAUCAUGUCCGCGAUAGAAGUUGCGGAGGAAUGAAACGACGAUUUCGGUAUAGGAAGAGAAAGGGAUUGUGCUUUCGACCGUGGCGAGAUAGGAUAGACUUGGGAUUCUUUCUUGGCCCUUGAUUGCCAACACUCUGGGGCUGAAUUAAUUAAUGAAACUAAUAGGAAGGAUUGGGAUGAUGAACUGGAUCAAUUCUUUCUUUCGCUGACUGACCAAGGUAAUUAAUUCCUUCCAUUGGCCAGGCGGGUAAGCAAGGAGACGACGUUCUCAUUAAAAAAAUGAAAUAUGCCAUGCCGAAUUCAAAAACAACUCCUUAAACUCCGUCGUUUACCGACAUCCUCUCGGCUAUCAUACGUCCUCCGCUUAUCUCUCUUAGGCAUAGGCAUCUCGACACAUUCCUCCUUCCGAGUUACUUGUCCGAACUUGGCUCUUUAGUAAAACGAAGGAGCUGCUAAGCUAUUAUUAGGUAUCAAUUUAGGAGCCUUUUGUCAUUUCCAACUACAUUAUUGUGAGUAUUCGGAACCCGUUCCUACGCGUUCAUCAAAUUGGCUGGCUUUGGACCCUCGAUCGCAGCAAUGAACUCAGCGUCCCACUUAACUUACUUUUGGUACUUUUGAAUCUUGUCCCAUCCCAUAGCUUCACAAGUGAAUCUACCUAUGGAUCCAUAAAGUUGAUCAUUACUUUUCAAAUUCUUAUUUCAUGUGUCCGCCAUAGCGCUUAUCUAUCUCCUGGUCUGAUUCAUCUUUGGAAUGUAACCGGACAUGUUACAAGGCGAAAAAACAGUGAUUUCAUCGAUUCCGGAUUGCCCAGUGUCUCCCUUUCCCUCUUUCCUUUCACUUUCCUCGCAUAACGAAAGCAUGAUUUACCCGAGCCGAGUAUCUUGUUAGAGUAGUAGAUUCCGCGCUCGAGAUGAUGUGUGUGACCGGGCAGGAGAUUCUUUUACUCCAAAGCCGUUGCGCAGGUUUGUGUGUGACAACUAUGUCGAUCAGUUUUUAAAGACGCCUAGAAACUAUGUCUACAGAUUCCGACAGAGAGUACAAGUGGUGCCAUCGGAGGAAGCUGACAACCUCAGAACAAGAAUGGAAAAAGGAUUGAUUGCUCGACGAAGUAGUACCAACAGGAUAUAUUAAUCACUAGGUUACGGUAAUAUGUGCUUGUCUCCGAAAAGAAGGAUAAAAGGAUAGAUUAGCAAAGCAGUCACUCCCAACGGCAGAUGAAAACGAUACCGACACAUCUACUAAAUCAUCUUAACAACCUUGAAGAUACGGGAUUAUAUAAUAACCUCAUUUAGUUGAUAGAUCAUUAUUGGAUUCUUUUUAUUGUGACCAAGAUCCAUGAAAUAGCUCUCUUUAUACUACGUUAUAACUAGCGGAUACUUCCCAUUCUUAUGUCUUCUUUCCUUAUUACGACUCCUGUGCUUAGAUAAAAUACGACGUUUGAGUUUGGACAUAGCCAAUUGCUACUUACGGUGCUAGGCCUUUUCAAGCAAUGGAAGGCAGACUUGAAUGCCAAUCAGACAUGGCCAGAAGCUUAGAAAAUAUCACUAGUUUCUCUUGUUUAUCACUUAAUAAAUAGUCUUAUUUGUCCCAGGGAGCGAGGAGAGAAGAUGACAGGUUGAGUAGAGAAAGGUGGGUCAUUGUCCCAACGUAGUAGUAUUUUUGUUUUGUUUUCAGCUGAUCUAUAUCAAAAUAAUAGAAUAAAUAAAGGCAAAGGAUUUGGUUCAGUCGUCAAGUACAGAUUUCCUUUACCCAGAGUUGGGAACUCUGAAUAGUCGUUUGAAUACCGAUUGCCUUCCUUGCGCUUCAAUUCCUCUUAUCCAAUCCAACUUCCCCUGGGAGCCAAGCAGAAAAGCAAGUCCUCUAGUUAUGGAUGCAGUACUCACCUCACUAAACUUAGGAAGAACUAAUUCAAGUAGAAUUACAAAUAGCGAGAAGUGGAUGAAAAAGGGAUCGAUCCUAGCUCGAAAACAGCUGCUCCUUCCCUCUUUCUUGCUUGCUUUACUCGGUAUUCAGUGAAAGAUUAGGCUUGGUAAUUACAGUUACCAAUGGUAAGGAUUGGCACGUGAACUUUCCUUUUUAUCGAGCUCGAAAAAGCAAUGAGUGGGUUGGCUGUGAAAGGAGAGUAGAGUUUUUUAGUUUAGUAAGAAAAGUACUGGGUGAGGCUCCCCACAUCCAUAACAUAUUAUCUGUACUCUUUUUCAAGCAUGCCUCUUUUUAAUGACUCUCUUUUUCAACUUAAUUGUGGCAUUUCAUUCUGUUAUUGACUAAUGGUUGACACUAGAGAAGCAUUGAAGGCUCCUUCCAUAGAUUCCAAAGCCCUGUUUGCUAUUAUCAGAAUAUUCUGACUCCCUUGUUGUCUUAUUGAUCUGACUAACCGCAAUAACAACAUUGCCAUUCGGGGUUACGCGAGUCGGAGUAUUAAAUAAAUGGAAUAUUCCAGCAGGAGCAACCGAACCAUCUUCUCGUUGUCCUUCCAUUCUUCUGACCAAUAAAAUAGCUCUUGGUCAUAAGAAACCAGCCGGAGUUCGAAAUCGGAGAUAAGAAUUGAAUCGAUUUCAGGCACUUCCCUCAAGCCGAAACCGGAACAGGAAACUUGUAACUUCUAGCCGAGAAGGAUAAGAGAGGUUUGUCUUGCUUUGUCUUAUAGUGAUUGUGUGCCAGGGGUCAGCGAAGAGACGGGACGCUAUUGUCCCGGACUACUUGGACUAGUCUACUAGGACUCGGUGGAAGAGACUUGUUUGUGAUAGGACGAGAGAUCAAGUACAGUGUUCGGUUCAAACUAGGCAACCUCUUCGUUAUAAGACCGAGAAUAGUAUAUGCCCCGUCUCACCACUAGCUAGGGCCACCAGCAUUAGGAAACUAAGGAAGAGUCGUAUGGCUAAGGAAUUCAGGGCUGAUAGAGCUCUUGGGAAGAAGUCAGUAUCCAGCUUUCUUUCAUUGAUAUCACAAUAACAAGCGAGGAAAGGACAGACUUUCAAGAGAAGAUAGGUCUGUUUUUCAUUAAGGAAUUGCGGCGAGUAUUGCUUGUUUCCCAGAUCCGGUAUCAGGACCUGUCGAUAGAUGGGAUGGACCCACCCGUUUGACUCUUAUGAAUUGAUAGUUAGAUACUAUUGCUAAAGGAAAGUAAAGAUAGUGGUUUGUGUUGCAAAAAGCUAGUUCAAGGUCAGGCUCCGUCAAACAGAGUCGUCAAGAACGAAAAGCUGAAAGAAUGAUGUGUCAAACAGUGAUUGCGCACAGAGGUUAGUUAAGUAUAGGAACUAUUGUCCCUAACAAGAAGUAUGCUGCUGUCCCAAUAAAAGGAUAGUUGGAUGGUAUCGAUUGAGGGAAUAGGGAUAGGUGGUUAAACGCGAUGCUGCGCCUAACUAUAUAGAACGGUGAUCCAUGAAGAGAAGUUGGCCAGCUAUUAAGUCAGAGAAGUCAUCAACCUAUUACUAGUGUCAGUUCUGUUAAGAGAAGUCAUCAACCUAUUACUAGUGUCAGUUCUCUUCUUCCUCUCUACCAAUUGAAAGUAAGUAUUGAUUUCGCCUAAUAGGGACAAAGCAAAGUAGGGUGGUCAAGUACAGUAUGCCUGGAGUUCGUAGUGCCCACUAGAUAUCAUUGGCAAGUUAUAGAAGUCUUUCUCUCUUCUGAGAUAUCAUUGGUCAGUGCAGCGAGGGGCAACCAUCAUUUGUAUUGCUCUGUAAAGAAAAGAUAGGACAAGGGUCUUGCUCCACCCAAUGGAGAUAAAGCACGGGGAUCCGUUAAGGGCGUAUUGAAUCGAUAAGAAGCACUUGAAUUCUAGUGGGCCCGGCUACCCAACACUAGCCCCGGAUCAUUUAUGUAUUAUCAAUUGAUAGUAGGUUUUAAGAUAGCUUAGCCCUUGCUAUGAUUCAAUUUGUAUUGGAGAAGAGGGGCGCCAACCCUAUGGGGAAUGUAGCUAUGUUGUACUUCUUCCUACUAGCUACGGUGCAGCACCUGUUCCUAGCUACGAUGCUGCUCCUGUCCGCCCCUUGAUUUAUCACCGCUUUGGUCUUUUAUUGGUCAUUGAUUUAUAGACGGGAGGAUAAGUACCCUGGCUCGACCCCAGAUAUCGAUUUAGCAUUCCAUUAUCGGAUCUCCGAAACGGGAAACAAGAAAAGUAAUCGAAAUCGUGUGCCAGCGGGACAUACGAAAUUCACACUUUUUGACUCUCAAUCCACAGGUGGAGAUACCAGGGGUGGGUUUUCAUGGCCUAUAGUCUCCCCUGCCGACGAAGCACGAACUACUUGUUGAAAUCGCGGAUCCAAAUCUUGCAUUUCUCCUUUACUCGUCAAAGGCCUCGUAUUGUUAUUCCCAUGAUUCAUGUGGGCUAUCUGCUCUUUAUUGUAGGGUCCUACUCCCACCUAUCCUUAAAAAACGAUGUGAGUGGCUCAUACUAAUCAACUGUACAAGUAACUGACCCUUAUCAAGCUUUCCACACAUAGUGUUUUGAUCUAAGAUUGCAAUUCUUCCAUGUUUCCGCAGUAGCAUAUUGUUCCAUGGAGCUAGGGUCCAAAAUAGGAAUCAAUAAGUGUUUCCACGACUCUACCGCCCGGCCAAUCCUGUUCCACUGAAUCCCCUCCCUUUUUCAUGGCAACAUAUCUUUAUGGCUAAGGAGUGGGAAAUCUUUCUCCUGUUACACAAAUCAAAUGUUUCAUUUCAUCCGGGAAAAGCCACCUCUUUCUCCACAAACAAUGUCUUUGUCAUUUGAUCCAGUUUUUAUCCGUUAGAUAGGAACAACUUUGCUAAAUACUGAGAACUCUCGGAUAGAGUAUUAGAAUGAAAAGACCAUUAAUUAUAUAAGGAAGAACCCAGGGUUCUAGCCCAUUCCCAUUCCUAAUUCAAUAAUUCGUAGUGCUUUUGCCUUUCUUGCGUACUCCUGGUGAACCAGUUGCUAGCCAUAUGUUUAGGAGGCUAUUUUCUCCUAUUAAAUAAGAUUCUUAAGCUUAAUAAGCCCAAAGAUCGAAAAGUACGGACCAUUUUGAAAUAAAACCGGACCAUUUGUAAAUCAAAAUAGAAAAAGAAAUCUAGCUACUCUCUUCUCUGUCGCCUUCAGAAAAAGAAAGCUAAGGCAAUUGGUGUUGAAGAAACAAAACCACACCGAACCAGUCAGGAGUUUUCAGAGAUUAUGCCCAGCGUCACAUGACACCACUUCACUUUAUGCAACACGAGGAACCGAUCAAGAAAGACGAAGCAGACAUGCACAAGUUCAAGAGCGAGGUCAGACAAGCAUGUAUCAGAACAGCAACGUGAUCAAGGCUGCAGCUGCUGCUGCGAGGACUAACGUCACAAGGGAAAUCCGGCAGGAACUGAAGGCCACCGAUCCCGACCGAUCGCGCGGCAUGGACGUCGAAAGCUCCUCCAUAGUCGACGGGGGCACUUCACUUGUCCUGGGGCGGCAGCAGCACAGACAUGCACAACUGAUUUCAAUUAGUACACACGAAGUAUGAUCAACGAUUCCGCAAAGAUAUUAAUUCCAGUGUAGUGUUCAAACGAUCAAAUGGAUGAGAUGAUCAACGAUUGCUCAGAUUAAAAAACUAGAAGGUACAAUUACAACUUAACAGAUCAGUGCACUCAGAGUUUGAGAAGACUAUAUAUGUAGCAUCCGCAUCACCAGGACACUCGAUACUGUAAUUAGUAGGCAGUUACAAGUUAAUAGAACAGAUGCUGCGAGUAGAAGAAUUGAAUCAAUAAUCAGUUUUAUCAUACAAUCAAGUUUGAAUCUGUAUUCCUAUAGCCCUAUAGCAGCAUAUAACAAGAAAUGGAGAGAACACCGCAAGUGAAAAUAAAAAAAUUCCGUUUUGUUGUGGGCAGAUGAGCAGGGAUCAUAUGGUGCGAAAGCCGAAAUGGCCAAGAGUCUCUGAAUGGCAUUAGUGGCCGCAGAUUCACCGAAUUACUAGACAAGCAGGAAAACGUUUACCUGGAGACAUUUUAGGCGUGGGAGGUGAGUCAGGUGUGAAAUGCAUCUCAGGAAGCGACUUGAGCCCUGUUUCAAAUGGGGGGAAACAAAUAAAUGAAAAAAUAAAAUUGGUACAUUCAAAAGAACUGCUCAACUGAUCAGUAAUCAUGACUAACCAUAGCAAAAAAGCACAGUAAUAAUAUCCCUAAUAUAGAGUAGCAUCUAGAGCUCGCUGGUAAUCCGCAUCUACCACCAACCAUCACCAAUGUAGCUUCACAAGGACUCACAAGAACAAGGAUAGGAGCGCAUAAACUUAUUUUGUAACUUGUUUGGUGAUCAAGAACACGCGCAUAGGGAGCACAAGAAUCGAUCGAAGCAUAUACUCGCCAUCAAGAAGGGACAAGUUUCUCCCCCCGGCCCUACUCCCCAACCAACCCACCGAACUAACUCCAUACGUUCAUCAUCAUACAUUGCGUACCGUGCAUUUUUCCUCUUCCUUCCAUACUGUGCACGAGGCCUUUGGCUACUCAAUUUAUUUUCUUUUGCUGCUUCUCUAUUCUACAUAGACCCGGCAAUCUCCCUCCGACAAAAGCAUACUUUUUGAGUACUCUAAAGAAAUAUAGCCCGUUGGGCCGGCUUUAGGAUUAUGCUUACUCCUACUGUGGAGAAAACCAGAGGAGUCCGACUACCAUUUCUUCGUAUGAAGUACGUACUUGUUCUUCACCGUGCAAGCUCUACAGGUUUCGGAAUCCGAGGCCUUCAAGUUCAACCGUAGACGUAGAAGCAAACCGGUACUUAAGCAUCGAGCGAAUGAGAGACGAGUGAGACGCCUUUAGCUCCUAGAAUGCCUUCUUCAACUUUGCUAUACGCAAUUCGUGCGCCAAAUAGAACUGCUAGACUACGUCGAGUUGUGACCACUCAUGCCUCUAAAGAGCGAGGCAAAGGGUAACACUAGGGCGGAGCUCCACCUUUUGUUCUUCCAGCUCGGACUCCUAAACUAGAAACUAUAUAAGAGGCAUGAGAUGAUCAGGUAUGUGCACUAAAGCUCGACAUGAUGAAAGCUUAUGAGAACUUCACUGCUAUAGCUGAUACGGGAUCUAAUGACUUAUUUCUUAAAAUAGGGUUUUGUGACUACCGAAAGUUUCUCUUUUCAUGACACAGGGGGGGUCUCUGUGGCCCUAGUUUCUUUGGCCCAUUUGAAAUGAGCUACGAAUAGGUCCUACUUCAGACAAUCCUUCGUUGUCCCUUCAGAGGAGAUGAGUGGGAUGACGAAUGAGUUCUUUAAACAUCUCUAUACUGCUGAAGGUACUGAAAGAAUGGAGGAUGUUCGUUCUGUCGACAGUUCCUCGGAAAGUAUCUCAGGCAAUGAAUGAGCAAUUGACUGCGCCCUUUACUGGUUCUGAAGUGUGACCUUUUUAAGAUGUACCCUGAAAGGCCCCUGGCCCGGACGGCUAUCCAGCCCACAUUUUUUCAGCGAAGGUGGGAUUUCUAUGGUGAUGAGGUUAGUGACUUCAGUUACCUUCUCGGUUCUUUUCAAUGGGGAGCGUCUUGAGCAAUUCAAACCUUCUCAGGGACUACGCUAGGGAGAUCCAAUCUCUCCGUACUUAUUCUUGUUAGCAGCAGUUUAGGUAUUUGAAAUAGCGAAAUACAUAAAUUAUCUAUCUCAAGUACGUCUCGUACUUAUCUUGAGCCAUCAGUCAGAUUGAAUGCAGCGCCCUGCCGGCAGCUCCUGACCUCUGUUCCUAUGGGGGAAAGAAGGUGUGGCUUUGGACCCCAAACUCUUCCAUGACGCCCUUCUUCUUAUAGCGUGGGUAAGUGAUCAAUACAGAAAAAAUCACACCCAUUGGAUCCAUCCUGAUAUGAUUGGGUGAUUUGCACGUUCCCUUAAGAACAAGCACACACACACUAAAUCCUGAAAAGAAAGAUAGAUGCUCAUCUUCACACUGAUAGCAGCAGGCUCACUACGUACGUUGUCCAACCCACCUCGUAAGACAUCUUUCCUCGGAUAGCCAAGCGAAAGAGGAGGUCUCAAGCGUGCAAAAACACAUGUAUGAGCAGGAAAAGAUGUGCAAUCAAGCUUAGAGACUGCAGAUAACAGAUCUCUCAGGCACCGGUUUCCCUCAGUUCAGGAAGGGAAGCGAGCUUUCAAGGGUCCCAGGAUAAAAAAGGUAAUUAAUAUGUCUCCGACCGAAGUGAUAGAUAAAGGCCUUACCCAUUGGCAAGGAACGCUUGGAGGAGUGAAACAACGAUUCCGCCUAGCGUAGGACACGUAUAUUUGAUCCAAUCUAGCAAGCGUAGCCAGCCCCACCCACGGGUGAAAUUGUACAGCUCCCUAUCUCGUUGAAAGCCCCUUUGCUUACGGAAGAGAAGAGUUGGAUGCCGUGGUGGGAAAGCUCCCGUUUCAACUUUGCUUCUUGUAAGCUUCGGUAUAAAUAGCUCACUUGCGGGAUCUAAUCUCAUUCUAUGGGAACAGCUUUCAUUUCUAUCUUUUGGCUUAAAGUGGUGAACAAAUCCUUUCUCUUCACUUUUUGUGCUCCGCAUGGCUCCGGUCAAGAUGUGACUCAUCCUGUAUAUACAUAAUUAGGAGACCUCUCACGAACUUGUUAAAGAAAGGAGUACCAUUUGUGUGGACAAGCCAAAGCAAUCCUUUGAUGUUCUCAAGCAAGCUUUAAUUGAGGCCCCUGUGUUGGUUCUCCCUGAUUUCAGUAAAAGAUUUGUGCUAGAGACAGAUGCCUGUGGGCAUUGGAGCUGUGAUAAGGGGUAGAAGUAUUCGUGUGGGGUGGGUUUCGAAGGGAAGGUUGCACAAUAGAUCGGAGAUCCUUUGAGGAAGACUGAAAUGACUAUACUUAUAGAAUGGUCCAUAUCGAACAGAUACGAUACUGGUUUACACAGAGAAUAUCGCCUAGCUCUAAAACGGCAGCACCUGAGUGCAACUUCGAGUAAGAAAGAACGACCUUCUGCUACCUUUUUACCAGGGAAUUGUUUUAACAACUUUAGCUGAUUGAUCUACGAAUGGAGGGAUUCAAGCUUAUUUUUGUUAACCGAGAUGCAAACGACUAACAAACUGGAUUCGAAGCCACCUGUCGUAAUAGUACCUGCGGGUUCUUUCUGUGGAGCCUUCAAAUGCAAUAGCUAGCUGCCCAACGGCCAAUGCCACAGGCAAAUCUCCAUUUUCCAACUUAUACAACUCUUUGGGGUCCAAAGAUACUCGCCAUUGCAACUUAAUAAAUAGGACCGGUGGGAUCGCCUUCAACGGAUAUAUCGGUUUCACUGCUUUCGUACCCUUUGUUUUGGUCAUGUGGAUGACCCGCAGACCGUAGAUAAGAUGGAUACCCACGUACUGCCAUCAAUGAAGAGACUUUUACCAAGGACCCUUAGAUAGAUAGGGGGGACAGACAAGAGGUAUGCAACCUGCUGAAUAUUGUCACCGAAUCGCUCACUGACAAAUACUUGGGGCUCCCCUCCCUGGUAGGAGUGGAUAGGAGCGACUGCUUCCAACACUUAAUUGAGAGAGUUUGCACUCGGAUUAAUGGCUGCAAAGAGAAGGGCUAAUUGGCUCCGCCAUGGAGACCGAAAUACGAGCUUCUUUCAUCACAUCAUUUUGCAACGGAGAAAAAAGAAGAACAUAAUAAAGUUUCUGAAUGACUCAAACGGCAACAGGAUCGAAGGUAAUGACCAGUUAGCAUCUCUUAUACAGGGUUACUUUGAGGGACUGUUCACCUCAGAAGUCCUAGCUCCCGACCCUGGGCUACUGGGGAAAGUAAACAGGCGAGUAACUGAAGAAAUGAACGCAAGCCUCUUGGCUCCAUUCACGGCAGAUGAAGUAAAGGCAGCACUCUGAAUUCAAUCGAGAGUUAGGUACAGUAAUCUUCAGAUAUGACAAUACCUCCCCCAAAGCAUUGUCAAGUGUUGGAAUUAGGGCACCAACCACGAAUAGGAGCUGUAUAGAACUCCGGAAAGAGACCUUUGAUGAAGUCGGCAUCCUCCCAAGUGGCAUUUGCUUGAUCCAAACUAGCCCACUUCCUUGGUUGCUGAAAAACCAUGCAACGCAAGUAAUUUUCCACACACUGAUUCACACGUUCUGUCUGGCCAUCUGAUUGUGGGUGAUAGGCAGAGCUAAACCUCAAUUUCACUUGUUGUGCUUUGAAGAAGGCCUGCCACAUGUUAAUUGUGAAUAUCCAGUUUCUAUCAGAGACUAUUGACUUUGGCAAUCCAUUCCACUUGAAAACAUUAUCCAUGAAAGCAUGAGAGACUGAUUGUACUGUAUAAGGGUGAGCAAGGGGAAUGAAAUGAGAAUAUUUAGUGAACCUGUCCACCACCAACAAUAUGACUUCUUUGCCCAAUGAUUUGGGAAGACCCUCAAAGAAAUCCAGGGAGAUGUCAGUCCAAGCAGAAGUAGGUAAUGGCAGUGGAUCUAGGAGACCAGGGUAGUGGCAAUGCUCUCCCUUGACUCUUUGGCAAACUGCACACUCAUGUAGAAAAGUUUCAAUCUCCUGGCCUGGCGCCAAUAAAAUCGCUUUUUUACCCUUUGAUAAGUAGCCACAAUGCCUGAAUGGCCUCCUAUGGGAGAGUUGUGAAGUGAAUCAAUGAUUUGGUGUUUAAGAACAGCAUCUGAUCCCACAUAUAUUCUUCCUUUAUAUCUCAAAAUGCCAGAAUGAAGAGUAUAAGGGGGUGCUGCAUUGGCUGAUAUAGUGAGCUUCUCAAGCAGAGAUUUGCAGUGAUCAUCAUUAGUGUAGCUGGUUUCUACAGUUGAAGCCCAAGCAGGAGUAACUGCAGUGACUGCCAUCAUAAGAGAAUCUCUUCUGCUCAAAGCAUCUGCAACCUUGUUUUAUUUUUUUUGUAUUCAAUCUUGUAAUUGAAUUCAAGCAAUUUUCACAUAAGCUUGUGCUGGAUGCCCUUAGAGACUUUUUGUUCUGUGAUGUAUUUAAGGCUCUGUUGAUCAGUUUUGAUCAAAAAAAGAAUUGGGAACCAAGAAAGUAGUGGCGCCAUCUCUUCAAGGAUUCCAAAAUAGCUAAAGCUUCUCCUUAUCAUAAGUUGACAUAGCUGCAUUUCUGGGUCCAAGGGUUUUACUGAAAUAAGCAAUUGGUCUGCCUUGUUGCAUGAGGACAGAACCAAUACCUUGACCUGAUGCAUCUGUUUAAAAAGUAAAUGGUAGGGUCAAAUCAGGCAAAGCCAUAAUAGGAGCAGUGACCAGACAAUUAUUCGAUGUUGUGAAGGCCUCAAUUUGAGCAUCUGACCACUGGAAUGAAUCUUUUUUUAGACAGUCAUGAAGUGGCCUAGAAUUGAUCCCAUAAUUCUUGACAAAUCUUCUUUUUCUGCAGCCAUACCAAGAAAACUCCUCAACUGAGUGAUGGUCUUAGGUGCUGGCCAUUCUUUGAUGGCAACUAUUUUGUGGGGGUCUGUAGAUAGACCCUAUCCUUAGAUAACAUGCCCUAAAUACUCCACUUGAGGGACAGGAAAACUGCAUUUGCUAAUCUUAGCAUAUAGUUUUUAUGACCUUAGAAUGUCCAGGAGUAACUUUAGAUGCUUGAUAUGAGCUUGUUUGGUCUUGCUAUAUAUCAGAAUAUCAUCAAAGAAUACCAAAAUGUAUUUCCGGAGCAAAAACAUGAUUCAUUAAAGAUUGGAAGGUAGCAGGUGCAUUAGUGAGUCCAAAUAGCAUCACUAAGUAUUCAUAAUGACAAAAAUAUGUCCUAAAAUUUAUGAAUGUCUUCUCUUCUCAUUCUUAUCUGAUGAUAACCUGAUCUCAAAUCAAGUUUGGAAAACAGUUGUGCACCAUGUAGCUCAUCUAAUAGAUCCUCAAUGACAAGAAUAUUGAAUUGAAUUUCUGCACUUAACCCGAAAGCAAGUUUGAAAACAAGACCUGCUCUGUGAAGUGAUGGAAGUAGUGAAGGUUUAGGCUUCGGAUCUGUGAAGUUCAGGUUUUGGAGUAGAGGUCAGAGGCUAGUGCGGGUAGCCCUGUCGGAAACUAGAAAGAAGAGGCUGAUGCACCUGCCUGGCGGUGGGUGGGUUCAGCUCGAUCAACUGGCAUAGGAGUUUUUUCUCUAUCUUGCUCCAUGGUGUUCAAGCAGUGCGUCCAGAAAGCUGUGAUUCAUGGGAGGGAGCAGCUUCAAUAGCUUUGGCUGUGAAAACUCUUGGUCUUGGAGCAUCAGUGUCAUCAGUUCACCCAAGAUCCGCAGGACAAAUAACUACUAGGUUUGUGCCAGAAAAGCGUCUUGCGUGACGGGGAAAGAGUGGAAAAACAAAGAGAUUCAUCAGCUAUGGAAUCUGACAGGUAUCGGUAUUGAACAGAGGGGGCUGUUCACAAAGCAUCCCAUGGAUGGUAAUGGUGCUUCCCCAGCUGCUGUUCCUACUCCUUUGGCUGGUGCCAAAUCAGGUGACUUUGAAGUUGAAGCUUGCCCGCAGAACGAUGUAACCAUGCUGGUAGUACUAUGAUUGCCUUAGAGCGCAGAUGUCUCUGUCCCUAGGAACGUGAUGCUUAGGUGCAAGGUGAAACACAAGCAGGAGAUCGAGAAAAGAAAUCAUACGGAUUGCAACCUACAGAUGAAGAAUCUGCUUCAUUGUUCCGACCAUCUAUAUCAGAUGUUUAAUAAGAAUAGGAAUCAAAUAAGCUGCUGAUUGACUGAGGAAGCAUUUGAAAAGAAAGGAAGGGUGAUGCUUGUUAAACAAAGCUGCGUGUGGGGCCGCCACGUAUAGCUGUAGUUUCUGCUGUAGCAUCGGUCGGUCAUUUCCGUUGUUGCUGUAGUAGCAUCGAUUAUUGCUCAGGUUACGAAUGACCCAAUCUAUCUAUGGCAACCACCCCUACUUUUAGUAGAUGGAGAUGCGCACCUAGAAAAGACGGAUGAAAGAGAACCUGCCCUUCUGACUUCUUCUCUUGUCUGUCCUUUACGCAAAGCGAUCUAUGGUCUCAACAAGCCCCGAUAGCGUCGGUUUUUGAAGUUCAGCACAGUGGUUAUGUUAUCCAGGCAGGGUUUGCUCGGAGUGAUCAUGAUUCGGCCAUGUUCGUAUCAGUUUAUCCUCGAGGACGUGCUAUUCUGUUGUUGUAUGUUGAUGAUAUCAAACUGACUGGUGAUUACUCCGUUACCAUAUCGCUGAUCAAGUGUCGCCUUCAUCAAUUAUUUGCUAUGAAGGCGCUGACGCGCCCUAAGCCUUUUCUUGGCUUGGAGGUCGCACAUUCUCCUCGUGGAUAUUUGGUAUCUCAGAUCAAAUAACGUCAUGACUUGAUCACUCGAGCUCAACUCAAUGAUGAGAAGACUGUUGACACUCCCUUGGAGCUUUACGUUAAACUCCAUCCGACUGAUGGCUCACCAUUAUCUGAUCCGAUGCAGUACAGACAGUAGGUCGGUAGUUUGGUUUAUCUGACGAUCUCUUGCCCAGAUGGCUUUUCCUAAGAAAGUCAGCCUUUCAUGGCUGCCCCCCGGUCAGUUCACUUUGCAGCAGUUUAUCGGAUUCUUAGAUAUAUUCGAGGUACCUUUUCUCGAGCCAUCCUUUUUUCCGUCAUCGUCUUCUUUAGAGUUGCGUGCAACUACUGAUGCCAAUUGGGCCUUCAGAUAGGUGCUCAACUACAGGCUUAUCUAUUUUAUGGGGAGACGAGACACUAUCUUGGAUGAGAUAAAAGCAAUAGAUAGUUGCUCCUUCCACUGCCGAAGCGGAGUACCGUGCCAUGGCACACUACUAGAUAGAUUGUAUGGCUCCGUUGGUGACUUUCUGAUCGCGGGUUUCAUUUGAACAACCCCAACGCCAUUCAUCUUGCGUCAAAUCCGGUCUUUCAUGCAAGAGUUUCAUUUUUGGCCGCUACUACGUUCGUCGAAAACUUCUUGAUGGCACCAUCAUCUCAUUACCUUAUUUUUUCCCUUCGACUUCGGCUAUGACCAAUGCCCCACCUAGCUGAAUAGGCGUAACAAAGCUACCUGAAAAAGGCAAGGUGCACCUUAGAUUGAAAUCGACAAAUUGCGUUUUGCCAGAUGGAUUCUUUAGAAAGAUUCCCGGAUAAAGUUCAGUAUAAUAUUUAGUUAGAAUCUAAAUAAAGGCGCAUACGUGGGCAGGCAGGGGGCCCCACUACUUCUUCAUUCAGGGGGGGGGCUAGCCUCAUGACUUCCCACUGGGCGAGGGGUGCACCUAACCCACCUACUCACUCAUCAAUUACGGUGUUCAGCUGACUUGCACAGAAAGACCCCUAUUGUUUAGUAAUUUGGCGCCCCAUCUUUUGAUUGACUGUUGUCAACUAAUCUUUUCAAUGUUCAAUUCUACUCUAUGUUAGAACAUUUCUGUGAAUGCUAUUUCGAUCUAAGUGGUCCUAUUCUCUGUCCGUGCUAGGAAGCAUUACUCCUCUUUUCAUUCCAAAUUCUUCAAUAAGACCGAUACGAUUGAUUGGUCUGUGCGUUUCUCUUAUUACUUUUUUGUAUCCCCCUGUUUCUCGGAUACAAUUCGAUCCUUCUACGGCCAAAUCUCAAUUUGUGGAAAGCCUUCGAUGGCUUCCUUAUGAAAACAUCCAUUUGUAUAUGGGUAUAGACGGUCUUUCAUUAUUCUUCGUGAUAUUGACCACAUUUCUGAUCCCUAUUUGCAUUUCAGUGGGUUGGUCUGGUAUGAGCAGUUUUGGGAAAGAGUAUAUUACAGCAUUUCUAAUUCGUGAAUUUCUAAUGAUCGCCGUGUCCUGCAUGCUGGAUCCUCUAAUAUUCUAUGUUCUUUCCGAAAGCGUGCCAAUCCCUAUGUUGUGCGGAGCUGAGCAUCUUCUAUUCGCUGGGAUCAAGCUUUUCCUCUGCAGGGGCCUUGUGCAGUAAACCCCCUACGGGCGGUCCCCCGUCAUCGUAAAGUAGUAAAGGUCCCCGCGAAGCUUUCGGGAAGAGGGGUAGUCUUGUGCGUAAGCAUAGCAUUUCUGGUCGAACCACCGAACCACACAUCUUUUUUUGGUGGGAGGGUACUCCGAGUAGUGGGUACCUCGUAGGACCUCGACCCGCCUACUCAGGUCUUUUAUGGAUAUGCAGGAAGGGGUGCUCCUAGGUGUGUGUAGGGGGUGUGUUUGUUCGCGAGAAUGUAUUCCUCGUCAAGUCAGGGGGGUGUGGACACACUUGCGCGAAUUCGGGUAACGGCUACAAGGGAUAAAAAUAAAGGAAACUGUACCCGACCAGGGAUGGACGUAAACUCGUAAGCUACCGAGGGUAGGGAUAAUCGUCCAGGUCUUAUUUAAAAAAAGCCGCCCCGCCACUGCAGGCAGGUUAGUUCCUCUGUCGUUGCCGGAGAGUUCUUGGCGAAGAGACCUUAGGAUAAGUUGCUAAAACAAACGGAGGGGAGGAUCGACCCAUUCAGUAGAAUUCCGAAGAAAGACUGUUGGCAGCAGGUGGAGACAUUUCUUUGGCCCCCUUCCAAAUAAAUGCGGGCAGGGUAGAGCUCGGCAGAGGGUUCGAGAAUAGGGUAGGGUUUUUUACGGUCGGGUCCCCUACCACUAGUCCGGCUAGCCUUCUUUCGGGCAGGAAGCAGGCCUAAACGACGGGCGGGCAUCUCCCGCUACGCAAGCAGCAUUGUUCGCCACCACCCGAGAAGCAAAAGAUUCUAGAGUCAAGGCGGAAAAGACAAGCAUAGUGGUCGAAUGACAAGGGCCGACGACGGAAGCUCGGGACGGAGCCGUAUGAUGCGGAAGUCUCACGUACGGUUCCCUGAGAAGGGAGUGGCUACCCACUGGAGCUUCGACCAACUACCACCGGUCCGCUUUGGGGCCACCCCUGACUCUACCAUCAUUAUAGGGGUAUGGGGUUCGAGACAAAGAAAGAUCAAGGCAGCAUAUCAGUUUUUCCUAUAACUUGGAUCUGUUUUUAUGCUAUUAGCUAUUCUGUUGAUUCUUCUCCAAACAGGAACCACCGAUUUACAAAUUUUAUUAACCACUGAAUUUAGUGAGCGGCGCCAAAUCCUUCUAUGGAUUGCUUUUUCGCCUCUUUUGCCGUCAAAGUGCCUAUGGUACCAGUUCAUAUUUGGUUACCCGAAGCCCAUGUAGAGGCACCUACGGCUGGAUCCGUCAUCUUGGCUGGAAAUUCUUUUAAAAUUGGGAACCUACGGGUUUUUAAGAUUUUCAAUACCCAUGUUUCCCGAAGCGACACUUUGUUUCACUCCUUCCAUUUAUACUCUAAGCGCGAUUGCUAUAAUAUAUACUUCCUUGACCACUUUAAGACAGAUCGAUCUUAAGAAGAUCAUUGCCUACUCCUCAGUAGCCCAUAUGAAUUUGGUGACUAUUGGUAUGUUUAGUCGGGCGGCGGCCGUUAGGUCACCUAUUUUGAGUUAUGGACACACAAGCAAGGCCAAAACAUGUGUGCCGGGCGUGCGACCCAUCAACCUACUAGCAAUAGGGGAGAAAACUUAGCAUGUCGCAACAAAAGCGUCGAUUCGAGGCGUCAGCAAAACACCGCCGUCUGUUCCUAAAACAAAACCCCUUAGCGCCCCGGGACGGGAGUGGGGGACGGCCCUACGCAGACAGCAGCAGCACCGGCUCUACGAAGUCCGAAUCGAAUCUUUCGGUUGGCUUUCCCGUGAAUAAGAAUUGUUGGGCGCGGUGAAGCGAGCGCUUCUAGCUGUUUCGCUUGCUUCUUUCUUAUUGUGGCGGCUAUUAUGGCGUGGCUGAAAUGAACGAAAAGCGAGAUGAUUCAAAUCGAUUGAUAGAUGGCCUGCUCUGUUCUGAUAGAUCGAAAGGUUUUCUAUCAAUAAUAAGGGUUGACCUCUUUCUAUCUAUUGAUGAUACAAGAUAUCUAUCUAUUCUGGAUCCAUCAGAAAGAAAUCGAUAUGUAUCUGAUUUUUUUCUACAUCGUAUGUAGAGCGCCCAAGCGUUUGGCCAGCUCAGUUCUAUUAUCCAUCGGUCCAAUGCACUGGCUCAUCUCAUGGAGGGAAAAAGCAAAUGUAGUUAGUUGUCUUGUUGUUGUUCGCCGCCUCGACACAUUCCCCGGCAUCGUCCCACACAGAAAGAAAGAGCGUGGAGCCCCGGCCCAACCUGUAAGUCCGCUAACGUAAAGCGAGGAGUUGAGCCUGAACUGGCGAACCGAAGUCACUUUCGUAACCAUACUUCCUACAGCUAACACGUGCCCAGUCCAGCGGGAACGCGAAGCGCAAACGAACGUCAGCUGCUAUACCGAAUCCCCCGCUGGCCAUCGGGGACCUAGUGGUAAGGCCAUGAUCCGCAGGGGAAGGGAUCACUCAUUCUUCUAUUGGGGACAGGUGCACGAACAACAACUCCAAACGUCAGACAUCCGCCGCCUAUACCUACCGUUUAGGUGGCACCAGCGAGAUCCAGCUAAGGUAAGGAACUUCGUGUCGCGGCUGCUCCACUCCGCUGCGGUCUUUUGAACUGAACUUCGUUGCCUUCCCGCGCGCGAAACGAAUGGGUGCUGUGUCGUGGGUCAGUUUUGGGGCGGGGGGCAGAGAGAGACCAGAAGAAUGAUUCAUUUGGAUCGACGAGCCAUUUCGCGAAUCAAUAGAAUGUCUCUCUAUCCAUAUCUAUUCUAUCUUUAUAUGACGGGCCAUAAAAAAAGAAGUAUUUUUUAUGGCAUGCGGGAUGAUCGCGCCUAGUAGCCACAUAUCAGCUGCGCUCAAUAUGCGGGAUUUCCGUUGGAUCAGAUCUUUCGCUUUGACUAAUUUGGACCUAGCGAAAAGGACUCUAAGCCUUCGCGCAAACAAGCAAAGUAGAAGCAAGACGAGGAAGCAGAGCUGUCGUAGAAGCAGUAGCUUCCCCCGACAAUAUACAAUACAACAGUAGCGACCAUGAAUAAAAAAGCCCCUUGUUUAACGAGUUCGCUGCUUUUCCCAGGCCGGAGAAGGGCAACUACUUAUUGAUUGAUCGCCUUUCUUUGAUAUGUGUUCAAUUUAGUACAAUACAAACUACAACUAGAUCAAAGCGGAAGGGCCACUCACUAUAGAAGCUAUAACUAGAAAAGCCCUAGCCAAUAGUUUAGUAGUCGGCCAAACCCCCAUGCUCACGACAUGUUCUUGAUAUUGAUUGAGUUGGAGGGAGUCAGAGACUACCACGGAAUCCUUCCAUAGUCACCCCGGUGACCUUCGUCACCAAAGCGUCACGACAGUUUCCAAGACCCCUCAUAUAAUCUCCAGUGGGGAUCAGUCGGAGCACGUAGGAAUGCCGACCACUUCAUAAGCCGCUGGCGGAGAAAGCUCGAAGAGCUUCCCUUCAUUCGCUUCGCGGGAGUCGCACACAGCACAUAGCUGGAAGUCAGAGGGCCCGUACUACCUACCUAACCCUUCGCCCCGAGGGACCGUAGAACAGAAAGCGCCUUCUAAACAACUCGGCAGAAGGGAAGGGGCCUAUGUAUUUGCAUGACCCCUGCGGAUUUGACCCUACCUACACCCGGAGCCAAUCCCCUAGCGGUCCUGCCACCACGCCGCCGAACAGGAGCUCGUGUGGAACCUUGGAUUUCUGGCGUAACAGCGGUGGAAGGUAUCAAAAUAUUACGGCCGCAUAACAUAGUAUAUACGCUAAGGUCGGCCAAAAUAUGGACACCCGAAGGGCCCGGCGCGCACAAUCCGAUCCUAUCCGAGCCCGUCAUUGCAUGCACUUCGGACAGCCGUCCGUAGCAUCAUAAGGAGCACCUCCCUUUCGAGGUACCCAAAUGGAACGGUCUUUAUUUGUGUUGUUGGUUGGUCUUUCUCAACGUGGUCUAUAGCACGAAAAACCAUUCUUUACAAGAUAGGGCCGUUCACAUGAAAUAAAAUACAAAAUCCAUUCUUCAUGGUCGGGCGCAUUUCUCCAAAUCCUCCAGGAUCACAAGUGGAACGCUAAGCAAGGGUGGGGAGGCUGCGAGCUCCGUGUCGAACAGAAAGAAGCAAGCAGGGGGUGUUGCCGUAGCGCGCUGGAGAGCAAGCGUAGGCAACCAAACUAAAUAAGGCUACAAAAGUACCUAGCUAGCGUUUUUAAGCUGGCUGCCUUUUCUAGCACGCGUACUCUUCUGUGGAGUCGCACGGAACGAGCCUUGUCUUCCCUCCAACGACUAGCUCCCUUUUCUUGUUCCGGUCACCCUUCUCUUGCCGUGGAAGGACUUUUGCCUGUGGUGUGGUCCAACCCGUGGGCGGAGUCGCCCUCAUCCCCCCAUUGCUCAGUGCCCCCUGCAGCUUCGCUGGGCUUUACCCGCGUGGGCGCGGGCUUCUAUAAGAGAAUGAAAAGCUCUCUUUUUACAAUAAAACGCGAACCGCGCGGAGCCCACCCUUUUUUGUUUUCUGCCGCCACUGGGUGGCCGCAGGGGAAACACAGCCCGGCCGCCUCUCGGGAAAGGGGGGGUGGGCCUACCUAUCCCGAGGGAGCAGCUGAGAGGUUCCAUAUGCCGAGCCGAAGGGCAGAACUUCAGUGCGUGAUCGCAGUAUGUCACCUCGUCUCGUCCUCGCAGCAUCGAAGAGUACCUAUGCACUAUGUUCCGGUUCACUGAUAAGGAAGAUAGAGUUGGGGUGGGGGUCUACGAUGUGAUACUAUAGUAUGCCCCGGGGAGAAAGAUGCGCAACUCAAAACGGAAGCAGGAAGCGUGUUGUCAAAAAUGUCGGAGGUUACCAGAUCUCUGAGACUACCAUCGAUCCGACAGAGCAGAACGACCAGAAAAAGAAGUGGAGUUAGAAAGCCGUAUGAUAGGUGGUAACUAUCUUGUACGGUUCGGGGGGUAAGCGGCGUACUCUGGGGGAAUAUUAGGCUCUAUCGAACAUACAGGGAAUUGGAGGUAGCAUUUUACUUACGUUAAGUCAUGGACUGGUUUCUUCAGCCCUUUUUCUAUGUGUUGGUGUUCUAUAUGACCGACAUAAGACUCGACUUGUUAGAUAUUAUGGAGGUUUAGUGAGCACCAUGCCGAAUUUCUCUACCAUUUUCUUCUUUUUCACUUUAGCCAAUAUGAGUUUACCCGGCACUAGCAGCUUUAUCGGGGAAUUUCUAAUCUUAGUAGGAGCUUUCCAAAGAAAUAGCUUAGUAGCCACAUUAGCUGCGCUUGGGAUGAUUUUAGGCGCGGCGUAUUCCCUUUGGCUAUAUAAUCGUGUGGUUUCUGGAAAUUUAAAACCCGAUUUCCUCUAUAAAUUCUCCGAUCUAAAUGGCAGAGAAGUUUCCAUAUUUCUACCUUUUCUUGUUGGAGGGGCGACCGUCCGUUGAACUACCAAAAAAGGGUAAACCAAUGUGAUCAUGACAUUGUAGGUGCUUGCGAUGGGACGGAUGCGACUUCCCUCAUAAGUAAUGGGUGGCAUAGCCCGUAGCAGAAGUCCCCUUUUUUUAUCCAUUUCUUUAUUACCCCAGAGGGGCCCACCCUGGUGGGACCGAGAGAAAGAAAGGACGGGGGGGGCGACCAUGCAUGGCACUUCUCGACCGUGUCUCCGAGGGACAGUUGAACGAGCGACUCAUGAAUGCUGCCGGGUCGGACGAGCCAAUAACUCGAACGUGUUCGGUUAGUUUUUUGAGCAAGAAUCACAGCGUUACCUUACCUUCACCAUGAUACGGACUCCAAGUUCUUAUGGUAGAGCACGAGGAGUUUCCUUCUAUAUGAUGAUGAGAAUGGAAACCAGAAGCACGACUGGGUCUUCGUAGUCCGAGAUCAUACUUAUAUAUCAGUCACAGUAACGUAAGCAUGAGACUUUUUGGUAGUACCGGUGAACCAGAUGGCCGCGGCGAGGGAAUCUGGGACGGAGGACUCGUAAUAUCUCUAUAGAUCUGGCAAAAGCGAAAGACCCCUAACGUCAGGAGCUGACCACUGAGCUCACUCAGGCCCCGCUGGGCGGGCCAGAGUGGGUGCGAGCUGAAAUUGCCAUAGCUUAUGGUUAGAGCAAUAGGAAAGGGCCCAGCAGAGAGAACAGUCAGGAUAACGAGCGCGGAGCCCACUUGGCAAGCGGCAGGAGCAGCGGGCAAGUGCUUGCUUGGUAGGCCAACAGCCCUGUGAACCGGGCGGGGCACUCGACGAAAGGGGGCACGCUGAGCAAGUACGCAAAAUUGGCCCUGCGGAGCUUUCAAAAAGAAAAGCAAGGACCACUACGGGAGGUCGAACCACGGACCGGAGGUAGUAGAACGUGAUCCGCACCGGUCAAUAUUGGAUCAAACAAUAGGGGACCGUAGCACUGACCUUUUUUUUGCAAGACAAUAGGUACUGUUCCCUACCGAGACAAGGGACACUCUCAACGGAUCCUCCACGCGCUAGGCAUACCAUAGUUCUCCCGUGCGUCUUUAUCGUGGCGGAAACAGAACAAGAGGGAAAGACCCGGCCGACUCGCCCAGGGCUCGAGGGCGAGCCAUACGAGAGUGAGUCGAAUUCUGUUUACGUUCUCGGUUUGGGUUCGGGCCCCUCUCGAUCUUUUGCGUAUAAGGGAAGGGGGAAGGAGUCUAAAUCUAUGGACAUUAAUGAACCACCAUUGAUGGACGUUGCACAUGACACGAGAAAUUCGAAUCGACGGUCCGGUGCUAAUAGAAGUUGCUUACUCUCCGUCUAGCGAAGGUGCCAGAUCCUUAAAGUAAAGUAUCUAUCAGCCUAAUGUACCAACCACGUGGUACGACGGGCACUCAAAGACCUGGUGAAUGAGGGCCCACCCCACCCAAGAGCGCUUAUGUCAUAUGGGAACUCUCGGCUGGAAACAAUCCUUAUGGUUUUUAUAUUCGGUUAGAAUAAUAAGAAAGAAUCAAAGUCCAGGUUGGUUGGUGAGCCUAGUGAUAGGAGACUAUCUAGCUUGGUUCGGAGAGCACUUGUUGGGUUUCAGAUUCGUUUUUUGCUAAAUGUUACGGCCUAAAUGCUGAACUAUUGACCCUACUUGUUCGGAUGGGUGUUCACCCCAAAGUGUUCCCGGACUGCAUGCAUACAUCCGUAAGUAACUUAGUGCAACAUGGCAAAUUUCAUUGAGAGGAAUCAGCAAAGAAAAGAAAUCUUCUCCGGGUGAUCAAGUUCCUUUUUCGGUCUGGGCCACGUCUUUGCUUUCUUCAGAGGCCCAUUUUCCUGGGCAUCAGUGAGUGGAAUACUUAACAGUGAUUACAUUCUUAUGUAGAUUCCAUUGCUCGAAUGGGACUUGUUUGUUGGCACCAACCUCAAUAAGAAGCAAGGGAGUGGUGCCGAAGCGAACGGAGCUGCAGAGCCGUUUGUUUACCAAUCCGCCAACUUAAGCUAGGAAAAGUGUAAGAGACCGUGCAUCUUCAUGUAAAUAAAGGUAAAUAAUCUCAGAAACAGUCAAGAAACCGGGAAUUUUUUAUUCCAUUUCUUAGCCAGGGCAAGCCCUACCGACCUACGACCGGAGAAGAUGUUGUGUUGUUCGUAUCACUUGCUAGAGAUAGAGAAGCUAGAACAGGAACUGCCCGGGAGGGUUCAAAGAAUGAGGUCUUCACCUUUGAGCUGGAUCUCAUCUCAUUCUAGCACAUACUACGAGCGAUUGACUUAAAGAAUACAACAAAUGGUUGUGGGGUUAUCUUUGUACCGUGUGACUACAACCACAAGGUCCGAAUCAAGCGAAACGGCUGAGGCGCAAGCCCUUUUCUCACCACUACUCUGUGUACCCAAAGUCAGCAACCUUUUUGGCACGCUGGCUAGCAAGUUCAUUGCUUCAAUGACAUGAAUUCAAUCAAGUGGACAAAUCCUAUCCUGGAAAAUAUGGGCAAUCAGCUGGAAACUCAAUAGUCUUACGCGGAAAGCACUCAACCGGCCUUCCUCUUCUGAAUUAUAUGAAUGACAGAAAUCAGUCCUCACUUGUAUUAACUUCAUGAGUGAAGAGAUAGACAAGGUGGUGAAAAGCAUGAAACCAAAUACUGCUCCAGGUCCAGAUGGCUUCUCUGUUAGCUUUUUAGAGAUUUUUGGCCCCAGUUGAGAGAUAUACUAAUAUAAAUGCUUCAGGAGCUGUAUCAUGGCAGGUUGAACUUGUCCAGACUAAACUAUGGUGUCAUUUCUCUACUGCCAAAGAUUAAGGAUGCUAAUAGUAUCCUACAGUAUAGACCCAUAUGUGUUCUAAAUGUUAUGUUUAAAGCUAUUACCAAAGCUCUGACACUUAGAUUUACUCCUCUGGCUCGACAAGUAAUCAGCUCUCUUCAGACUGGAUUUAUUCCUGGGAGGUACAUUUUGGAUGGAUGUGUAAUUCUUCAUGAAGUUUUGCAUGAGUUGAAAACCUCUCACUCUGAAGGAAUUUUGCUUCAGUUGGACUUUGAAAAAGCUUAUGAUAGAGUUCAGUGGCCUUUCUUGGCAGAGGUAAUGCAUAGGAAAAACUUCCCUGACAGGUGGAUAGAUUGGAGUAGACAAGCAGUGGAAGGAGGCAAAGUGUGUGUGAAUAUGAAUGGAGAUUGGCGAGAAUAUUUCUCUACUUUCAGAGGUUUGAGGCAAGGAGAUCCUCUUUCUCCUUUGCUUUUUCACCUAGUAGGUGAUGCACUAUCUGCAAUUCUGGAUAGAGCUAAGGAAGCAGGUGUGAUUAGAGGUUUGGUACCACAUCUGAUACCAGGGGGGAUUAGUCAUUUGCAAUAUGCUUCUGAUACUUUGCUUUUUUUGCAUAAUGCCAUGGAGUCUAUUACUGGAUUCUAAUUCCUUCUCUACUGUUUAGAGGAAAUGUCUGGCAUGAAAGUCAAUUACUUGAAGAGUGAUAUUUUCACAGUAGGGUUGAGUGUAGAGGAGGAGCAGAGGGUAGCUGAUAUAACUGUGAGAUAGGCAAAUUUCCAAUAAAAUAUAAUAUCUGGGAUUACCAAUCAGCAAAGACAAGAUCUCUUCUAAUUAUUUUUUUUCAUUAAAAGGUAGAAAAGAAGUUGGACUCUUGGCAAUGCAAACAUUUCUCUUAUGGAGGAAGAGAUAUAUUGAUCAAUGCAUGUUUAUCAAAUGUCCCUAUGUACCUUCUGGGUUGCUACGCUUUGCCUGUCAAAAUACAGAAAAAAGUCGAUACAAUAAGAAAUCACUUCUACUGGGAGUAAGAAGAAGAAAUUUCACAUGGUCAUAUGGGAACACCUAUGCACCCCUAAAGAUUAUGGUGGUGUGGGCUUCACUGAUAUGAGAGUCAGAAACAUUUGUUUACUGUCAAAGUGGCUGGAGGAGGUCAAUUAACUACUGGAGCUUACACUGCAGAUACUGCUUAUUAAAGGGCACACAUUUCAAGACACCUUCAAACUACUGAAAUUGGAAAGCAAUGAUGUUAUACUGGGUUAUGAUUGGCUAUAUCGUCACAGUCCAAUCAAUUUAGAUUGGAAGGCCAGAACAAUGAGUAUUUGUCACAAUGGGCAAGAAACCAUUAUUCUUUCUGACCGCAGAAAUACUACUUCUCCAACAUUGUUAGACCCUGAUAAGUUUCAGAAGGAAAUUGAUAAAGGAGCUAUGGGCUACUAUCUUUAUCCCUUAUCUUGUGACUCUGCUGAUACCGAUGAUGAAAAUACUUUGGAGGAACUUAACUUGGUAUAGUGAGCCUAGCAGGCGGCGGGAGUCCAGUACGAUUGCUUGCAUUUCUCUGGAAUUGAACUAGCCCUUGGGAAAGGUAGACGUGAAGGUACCAUGAUUUCUCACUUUAUAGAAGCGUUAGAGCUCGGCUGACACAGUGAUCGAAAGCUGCGCAACCAAAACAACUUGAAACCGCCCAUGCACCUUUUGCUUUUCCUGAUAUCGUCCCUUCGGGUAGUUGGAUAUGAGCACAUUCAAAUUGGAAUUCUUCUGAUCCCAGAUCCAAUAGAAGUUUUGAGGUAAGAGGUACCGUGAGCAGAUUUCUUUGUUCGAUACCCAGUUUUUGAUCUCGCAAGCAAGGAAAUCGAAGAAUAGCUCAGUAUUAUUACAUCUCCCUCCGAUAAUGAGUGGUAGUGAGCUCUGCCCUAGAGAAUGAAGACUCCAAGCAGCAUCUCAGUCUCGAUAUUUGCCUUUUCGGGAGACGACUUGUGAUAAGCAAGUCAGCCAUGUCUUAAAGAAGUAGUGGGAGUGCAUGGUUAUAAAGGAAGGCGCAAGUGUAUUACGGAGCGAAGAAGCUUUAGAGAAAGUUCUACCUCGCGGGUGAAACCAUAGAUUGGAAGGUGUAGGUCACUCACCCGUGUAAACAAAGCGAAAUCAUAGAGCAUAGCUCGUUUGUAAUGCCCCUGUCCGAACUGACCACAGGAUUUAGGUCGUCCCGACCAGUAACAAAGGAGAAAUUCCCCUGCUUGUUAGGAGUUCCUUUAGUUUGCAGUUGAGUGCAGCCGGAUGGUUCUCUCUGUGUAUUCCUGAAAAAGUGAUUGGAGGUUCGUUGCUCACCUUAAGUCAUUAUCAACCAAAACUCAUAGAGAAAGGGAUCCGCAAAACCCCUCGCCAUUACCGUAUGAGCAGGUUUUAAAGCCUGCAAGUUAAGUUGUUGGCUGCUCUUAGCGAUUGAGUGCCAACAUGAGACCUAUUUGUUAGCUUUGAACCGAAAAGGUCCCUCAACCAUAGCGUGAUACGAACCAGUGGCUUCCCUACCGAAACCAAAGAAAUCCUCUGGGCGGGUUCCUUAUCUUUACUUAAUAUGGAACCGAGACCUUGACUUCUUCUUAUCAGACUGAAGAGGGGAACCUCAUGACCCAGGAUACAAGCACUAUUAUCUUCUUAUAAGGGAAGUGAGGUGAUUGUAAGCAAAAGGAGGAGGAAUAGUUUCUCAUACCGAGAUCAAAAACUCAAGCGCCAUCCGUUUCCUAUUUGAUUUCAGAACAGCGGAAUAUCAUCACCCGUGGUUCACUUGAGCAUGAAUAGAGUUCGGUCUCCUUAUGAAUUCAAGUUGGUAAAGAAGUGGACUUCGGAGCUUUCGCUACAACCCCUCCAAGGCGGGCAACUGUCUCAUUUGACACUAGCACUUAAAUAAAGAAAGGUAGGAAGGGCUCCCUCCCUAUAAUGAAAUGGGCUUCUUUAAAUUAUGCAAUACGUUCACCAGUCUCGGAUCUUUAGAAAAAGGAACCAAUCCUAUUUCGGCACUCUUUAGAGGCUAUCGCUCGUUUACCGCAGAUCUCUAUCCCACAGCUGGCUAAUAAAAUCGCCUUGGCAAUGUGUCAAGUCCUUUCAGUCAGAGUUCAACUCUUCAGCGAAAGUGAAAAAUCUACGGUCAUCCAUCCGCGGAGGUAGCCAUGGACUCCAUAGUAUAUGUUGGUAGCUAGCGUACAGGCUUGAUGUGAGGGGGGGUUGUUACCUAUUCUAUUCCCUUGCUUGGAUAAAAACACCCAUCUUUCCGUACGAAAGACACGCAACUAGAGCAACUUGAUAUUACGUAUGUAGACCUGGCCUCCCUCAAUAAUAGCUGGCUCACCCGAUUGACGAUUUUCAAAGAUCUACGCCAAGCGCCUCGAAGCGGGGAUCCACUUUUUACUACUUUAGAAAGUGAGAAGCCUUUGGCUUGAUUUCUUCUGUGGCUUCUUUAUGUUUACCCACGCCGCGGCUAUUCAAUAAAAGGAUUGGUAGUUAGUUGCCUCACCCUAUUGGUUGUUGGUUUUCUUUCUCCUCUGCGUUCGUGAAAAGCUAGUAUGCUCGCGGAAAUCGUCUAAAGGAAACUACUCGCUAACUCGCUAACAAGACGGACUUCUUCCUCUGGCUCUGCCAGGCUAUGCUGCUCGCCUAAAUCGGUAUCAAUAACUUCUAUCGUACUUCGACCUCUCAUUGGAAUGAUAAGUUGGCUACGACGAACUAAUAAGUUUCUCUUCUUGUCACCUUCUUUAAGCCUUUCCUUCUGCUUCCAUCGAGAAAUAUAUAUAGAUAAGCUUGGAGAAGCGAUUAAGGUGUUUCCACUCUUUGGUUGUUCAAUAUGCGAAGACCGUGUCAAUCACUACACCAGUGAUACGAAAAGCAAGCAUUCUUCUCCAGCUGAUGUACCGACGCCUCACUACUACUUAAUUAGUGAAAGAUACGUUGGGAUGUUUUCAAUUCUCCAUCAAGAGGCGGGCAACUAUCUCUUUUAACACUAGACUUCGGAUCGCCUUCCUACUAGUUUUCUUCUCGGUCUCCCCAACUAGGGGAAACCUCAAAGCAAACAACAGAGCAACACCUAUCUUUUUUCUUUAAGCACUGAACAUCCGGAUCCCCUUCCGACUUGCUUUUCCGGGCACUGGUCUUUCUAACAACUGGAACUCGUCUCCCUUUUCCUGAUUCGCAUCUUCUUCGGCUUUUGCUACGGUCUGUUCCUUCCUUCAGUCAGUCCUUCCUUCAAGAUUUUUGCCUGCGGAUCUCUCUCUUCAAAACAUAUAUAUCUUUCGGCGCCAGUCUUUCCUGCCUUACCUUAACCCCGCUUUCACGUGGCGAAUCGGUAUGAGGUUUCAGUGAUCACUUUACGGUAUUCUUUAAGCUUUCUUGGUCACCGGACAGAGUGAGAACUGCUCAGCUUGCUUUCUUUCCCUAGCACACACUUAGUAGAUAGUAGGCACAGGUCCGCUAAGAGCUCAUCGAACCUGACUUGUAGAGUGAGACCUGUGCUCGAUAUGGUUCAUUUCAGUGCUCUUUCUCUCGGUAUCAUUCACCACAUGCCUGUGAUCGAUCUCUCUCAAGCUAGGUUUGGUAUCGGUAUCGGUGAAGUCCGUCAUUGAAUUGAAGUGGUAGAGUGGUAAGUGGGCGUACGGUCUAUGUAUUUCCUAUCAGUGGCAUUAGUUCCUUUUCAUUCUCUAGAUAGGCAGAACAAGCUUCUCUUUAUAUUCUAUUCUAGAAAGGAUCAAUUAGAUUCUCAUCUCCUAUUUGUUUGAGCCAUUCAUUAUAGUGGUGGUGCCGGGAAGGCAGCUUAGCACUCUAGUCCUUUUGAGUAAGGAAUUGUAGCAUGGGCAGGCAAUCUCUUCGAUUGAUUCCCCUCCAGGAAUUACUUGAAUUAAUUAGUCGGCCCACGAAGUGAAAUAUUGAACUUAACCUAUAAAUAACUAGUAUCUCAAAAACCAAAUAAAAGGCUUUCUUUUAAGCUUGUUAAUGGAAUUCCACAGGAGUCAAGCGCUAGCAAAGAAGAAUUGGAAAUCAGUCGCUUCCCUUCUGGACUCAAGUCAGCAGAAGAGUGAACUUCAUAUUAAUAGGUAAAUCCUACAUCAAGCGGAAAAGCCAUGAUGUUUCCACUCCAUUUUCAUUACGAAGAUGUAGUACGUCAGGAUCUGUUGCUCAAACUGAAUCACGCCAAUGUUAUGGAAGUUCCUGGAUUGUUUGAAAUAAGAUUAGUACCAAAAGCUCCCUAUGACCCUUUGUACGGAGCAUUCAAAGUUCCUCACGCUGUCAAGCAAGACUUUGAUCUCGAUUUGGGAGAGCAAACACAGCUUCGCCAUCCAGCCAAGUAUCUUUAUUGAAUUGUGACCCUAUCUAGCACUUAAAAAUCUCUCUUCUUUCUCCGUCACUAGAUUCCGGUUAAAACGCUUGGUCCACCCAUGCUUUUCCUCUCCAUUUUUCAUAUGGAAAGGGAAAGCAGUGCCAACUUAUUGGAAUUCUGCAUGGCAUAUUUCCCAACCUCCUGCUAUUCCAGGCUCUAGUGCUCAGUCAUAAACCUAUUGCCCGCUCCGCUUUCCCAUUCCUAUUGCUUUCGGUAUCUGAAUCUUCCUGAAUUCAAGUAGAGAAUACCAGGGCUUUCUUCUUCUUUGAUUUUCCUUGGGGCAGAGGAUAAAAAAAAUGGAUUUCCGACAUACCACCUGCGGCAUUAGGAUUCUAAGAUUUAGGAGGGGAAGGCUGAGGAGAGGGAUCACAUGCAUUCAAGCAAUCUCAAGAUUCAGAAACGAUCAAAAUAAUGGUAUGGGGAGAAGAAAGAGAGGAGAGUCACGAAAAUAAGGUAAACGCAAAGAGACGAUGAAAAGCAAUCAGAGAGGAGAGGGAAGAAUGACAAUGGAAAUCAUAAAGCUCAGCGAGGAGCACAUUACUAUGAAUAAUAAUGGAGAGGGACAUUAAAGGGGAAAACUGAGCAAAGAGAUAUAAAAAUAUACUAGAAAAGCUUUUCACUUCUACUUUGUUUUCUUGUUUAGAUUCAUUACUUCAGUGAUUGAACAUGGGCAGAUACCUAUAAGGACCCCAUUUCAUUGACCUUCGCCCUUUUAUAUCCCUCGUUAAGAUAUGUUAUCCGGACCAACUCCCACGUAGAAAACCAAGAGCAGUGAGUUACAAAACGAAGAGCAGUUAGAAUCGCGUAGCUGCGUGCCCCUUUUUCUGACUAGCUUCUUGUGAAAAGCAUUUCAGGCACGAGCACACCUGAUGAACU